This 4550-nucleotide long non-coding RNA is filed under the name Homo sapiens (human). RNAcentral's name for it is "HSALNT0058973". Lineage: Eukaryota; Metazoa; Chordata; Mammalia; Primates; Hominidae. The record is from RNAcentral.
AUCCUGUGAUGAAAGAUUCUUUUAUUAACAGUUACUAAAGAGCUGUCAAACUCUGAUUACUUCUAAGAUUAAAAAAGAUAAUAAAAAUAAAUUUAACAAAGAAAAGUUAGGAAAAAACCAAUUUCAAAACUAAACUUUUAGGCACUAUUAAGGUCUUCUGCUUAGUAAGGAUAGUCUAUGAUGGAGCAGCUAGUAUGUUCUAAUCCAUCCUCCAAUGUCCAAGUUGGCCUAGCUUGUUUCAAAAUAAACCUUUCACUUCACUGGUUUUCAGUGUUUAUUGCACUGUUCCCUAUCUGUCAUCUUAAAGGACUUUACCACAUGCAUAGCCUUCCUCUUUGGUUAGCCUGAUCUAGGUUUCACCCAGGGAUGGAGAAGCAUAAUCAGGCUGAAAAGUAAUUCCAAUAUGGACAAGGCUAUGUGUUUUUGAAAGGAGCACAUCCUACUGCCCUCUGCCACACUAAAAUGUGCACAAGCAAGGGGCUUUGUGGAGGAGGCCAAGGCAAAGACUUCUACAUCAUAUCAAUUGGCUUCUUCACUGUUAAAACUCUUACUGAGAGCUCAGUCAGAAACAAGAUUGGGUAAACUUUUUCUUAAAUGUUCUUAAUUGCUGUACUAACUCAGCUUCUUUACAGUAAGAAAACAGAUCCUAUCAGCAUGGUGGUUCCUAGGCCUGAUCAAGAGUUGACAGAGAUUCCACAGAUUCUCGCCAACCCUGCUAAGAUCAAGCAUGAUGAAAAUAACUCUGCAUUUUAGUGAUGCUCCUACUUCCAUAAUUUGCCUUUUUCUUUCCCAUACGUAACACACUCUCUCCCAGCACAAGUAAGUACAUUUCAGUAGUGCAAUGCAGUGCAGUCAUAUUUAGUGCAAAAAAAAGCCCUAUUAUAACCCAAAGCUCAACUCUAAACAGCUCUUACAAAGGUUACCAGUGCUACGAAGGUGGGAAAUUCAGUCUAUCUCACACUUAUGUGAGUCAUCUCUUUUGUUGCUCCUGUUUGUUUCAGCUCAAAGUAGAGAAACUAGCAUGCACCUAUGUAUUUUCUGUAAAACAUUAAGCCAAUAGGCAGAAAAUAAAAGGAAGUAGUCUAGUUAAAAUCAAGGGUAUUAUUUAGAAGAGGAAAACAGCUAUUUAAUGUAAAGGUCAGUAGUGGUUUUUACUUAAUAGUUUUCAUCAUGUCAGAUGGCUCUAAUGCUAAGGGGAAUGGGUUCAGAAAAAGAUAAAGCUUUCCUGUUUCUUGAAACACGGUCCUAAAUUUAACAGUGCUGGGCUUUUAUUUUUGAAUAGUGCAAUCAGCUAUUCCUCAAGGGCUACAGGCAGCAGCCACCUAACAUAACAUAAAUAGGUACACUAGGAGCACUCACUUUUCUACAUUGAUCACUUUUUCCCUCACCUCAUUAGUCUCCUAUUCUUUUUUUUUUCUGACUACACAUAAAUACAGAUAUACAUACACAUACACAGAAAUUCUCAAGGCCCCUCUCAGAAUGAUCAAUUGAAAAUUGGUACAAAUAGCUCAGUGACACACUCACACAGAAGUACAAUUAUUAAAUACAAAAGUGAAUUAUUACAGCAAAAUUAAGAGUCUGCAUUGUACCUCUUCUUGUGUUAUUCCAUAAGAAGAAAAAACAUUCAUAGUAGGAUUUCUUAAGGAGCUUACUUCUUUCUAAAGAUUAGUCUAGAAUUAGUUUGGGAUGUGGCAAUAUUGAGUGAUUCUGGAAAAAUGAUUUGUAUUUGAUCAUCCUCAGGAAUCCGUUUCUUCAGUUUGUCUGGGUCUUCACCCUCCAAAGGCUCCUCAGGAAAACUGAGGUUCAAAUCAACGGGCCUAAAGAAGAAGUUUAGCAGCUGAAAAUACCUUUGAGAAUUUUCUCCUGUAAAUCUACAGCUGGUUCCAAAUUAAAGUUUGUCCCAAGGAGAGCAAGAGCAGAGUAACUAGCCUUUGUUUUCAAAGAUUCCCCUAGUUGUGAACAUGCAUAAAGCACUUUGAACUACAGGAAAAUCUUAUCUCAAAUUUGAACUAUUAUUUUAUUUUCAGUGAUCUCUCUGUACACUCCUCUCGGGCCCGGAUAGCACAUUAGGUAUAGAAGUCAGGAGUUUCUACAAUUUCUCUAGAAGUGUUUGGCAGCAUGAAGAGAAAUCUUUAAUCACAAAGAAGUAUAGUUAACUUACUAAUUCUUUGAAUUGUAAUAAUGAGAGAUAGGCAAGAACAACAAGGGGUGAGUAGUGCUAACUUUCUCCGGUAACCUUGACAACUGGCUUUAGGAAUCCAGACCUGUAUCAAAUUUGGUCCCAUCACAUUGUCCUGUUCCCUCUCUUUGUUUUUCUCUGUUCACUUAAUUGAAAUUGCAAUUAUUUUAAAGAUUGAGCCAAGAAUGUCAAUUAUAGCACAAAAGAAAGGUUACAAAAACGUUGUCAGGCUAUCUGUUAAUCGAGUUGAGUUGAAAACAGUAUGCUUUCAAAUGAAGUACUACAAUUUCCUUUUUUAAAAAAAUAGUUUCUAAUUUGUUUUUUCCUUCUUUUGUGGUGGAGGGGUAUAGAUGGGUGAAGUACUGGCAAUGCAGUGCCAAUCUCCCUCUGUUACUGUUCCCUCUAGUGCCUGGGGUUGGGGCAGGUGCAGGGGUGUGGGGAAGGAGAGAGAAGCAAUGGGGAAACAGGUGUUUCUCUACUUAAGACUUCAUGAACACAUACAGUCUUGAAAUGGCUAGAAAAGCAACAACUACAAUGAUAAAAAUCAACAGAUCAAUUGAUUUUGGCAUUUCGGCAGCACCCCUUCCUUUUCUUUCCUGGGUAUCUUGCAGUAGAUAUUAAUUAGAAAUACCCAAAGAAUUUAAUUAAACUAAUUUAUUCCCAGCCUUAUUCCAAAAAGGAUUUGAGGAGGCAAUAAGGAUUUGUAGUACAAAAUGCAUGGUCUUCAUCUGCAAUCAAUAAAAAAAUCUAUUCUUUGGCCCCAGACCUGUUAGUUUAGGUAAAUACGGUUUCUUUCUCAAGGAACAGGUUUUUGUUUUAACUGUUCUAUCCUCAAAGUAAAGAGAGAAUUUCUCUCUUAAAAGCUCAUGAGUGCUAUUUGAAAUGGAAGAUAAGAUUUUUUGGAGGAAAAAUUCCUUCAUGGUAGGAUGGAAGGCUUUUCUUUCUAAGGGGAAAAUAAUACAGUAAGGGUGAGCAGUUAUUUGACUGUCCAUGGACAGUAACAAAUUAAGAAAUAAAAAUCCUUUACUAUCUUGAGAAGAAAGAAAGGGAAACAAAUAAAUCAACAAAAAAACCUUACUAAAAUACACAUUCCUCCAGUUUCAGAUUUCUAAAAAGUAAUAAUUAUGCUUAAAUCAAGGUUUAUAGAUAGCAAACAACUGUUUGAAUGUGUGAAAGUAUUAUCCCUUUGCUCUACCAUGUUUCACUUUCUUUGAAGGAAUUGCAUCUAUGCACACUUAUCCUGAAGUCCAGUGCAGAAAAUAAACUUGUUUGCUACCAGCCUCAAUCUCAGAACAUUUCCUAAGCUAUAUUUGUAAAUUCUAGAGCUACAUAUCUGUAAAAUAAGAUGCAGACUUUCUGAAAUGCAUUGUAUGUGUGUGUGUUGCAGAGGGAGAGGGGAGCAAAGCAAGCUUUUCCUGGAGAAAAGAAGAAAAAAAAAUCUUCCUAUCCUCACGAAUAUAUACUAUAGUGUUUCUGUCUAUUAUUUUGAUGCAUUAGUUACUGUUAGGGCUAUUGAUGCUCCUGACAGGUGUCAGCUUGGAAAGACAGGAGGCUCAUAAGCAAUAAUAAAUUCACACCCUGGAGUCUCUAGAAUAUCAAACAGGAUUUAGACAUUAAUCUGAGACUAACACAGAGGUUGUGGUGAGAAAUUCUGGGUCUUGGGGUUGGAAUACUUCUUGGGGAACUAGAAAGAACAGCAUCAAGAAGGCAUCCCAGAUUGAGGACCAAGUAAGAUCUAUCAGAACCAGAGCCUCUCCUCCUCCAUAUUAUACUUUAAAUGACAGCAUUUUAGGAUUUAAAAGAGUCUUUCUUCCUUUGGAAGCCAGUGCCUAAGGAGAGGAUUACUUUAGAUAAAGAGUACUUUAAGAAAAAAAAAAUACCAGGAGUUAGAAUGGACAAAGAAAAAGAAGGAUAUAGGAUUGAUUGGGAGAACAUUCCAAGUGAAGAUCAUAGUCCUAAGCAAUGUAAAUAUUGCCUUUAAGAGAUGUUGUUUUCCUACUAGAUGCAUGCCUCAUAAAGGCUUUCAAAACUGCUAUUUAUUUCAUUGUUCUCUAUGGUGUGAGUUGAUGUUAUAAACUGGUUUGAUUAAGAUAAAAGCUGGGUCAAAUCUCAAGUCAAAUAAAAAUACAUUUCUGAUAUUAAAUGUUGAUUCUUUUUGUCAAAGGGUAAAGCAAGAACUGAAAGCAUACCGCCUAUGCACUCAAAACCACAUAGUACUCUAAAUGUCACAGGACUUGUCUUCAUUAAAGCUGAGAGGCGAUGUGGUAUCAUGGCAAGAAUAUUGGACCAGAAGUCAGGAAAGACUGUGUUACGAAGUUGUUGUGAAUGUGAUAUUAUAAGCAUCCUGAAAAGGAUACACCCAGAAUGGUAU